This 8223-nucleotide long non-coding RNA is filed under the name Vitis vinifera (wine grape). RNAcentral's name for it is "long non-coding RNA (VVIN_LNC003450)". Lineage: Eukaryota; Viridiplantae; Streptophyta; Magnoliopsida; Vitales; Vitaceae. The record is from RNAcentral.
CCUCCAUCAUUUAAAUAUGAACAUGAGACCGCCUCUUCAUGAGUCUUCUGCAAGCAAUGGAAAUGGACUAAGGAGUUUAAAAUUUGAAGAAAUGGAUAGAAAUGGAAGGCUUAACAUUGGAAGCAAAUGGCUUGGAUGAGGAGGGCAGGUGGAGCGUUAGAUGGUGGGUGUUUUCCUCAAAUUAGAAGUAGGCUCUUGUUUUUAUUAGGCCCGCUAUGGACAUAUAUGAUAACCCUAUCCCAUCAUACUUAUCCCUAACAUUUCAAUUUACUAUCACCCUUUUUAUUUUUAUUUUUAAAUUUUUUUUUCAUGUUUAUUUCUGAAAUUUUAUUCAAAUUCUUGCUAACAAAGUGUUAGCAUGAGACGCUCUUAUUAAUGAGUUUCUAAGAAAGUUCCGAAAUUGAAAUUUUAUAAAGGGUUAAUUUCGUUGACACCCUCUCAAGUUUAAUAUAAAUAUGCUAAAUCCUAGUAGGUUUUAAAUUUCAUCUAAUAGUAUCCAUAUAAAUGUAUUUCAUAUAUAAAAUUUAAUUUUUAAGGAAUAUAAUUUAAUUUAUAGGGAAUUGUUAAAUACUUAUAUCUAAAAUAUUUUUACUUAAAAUCUUUUUAAGAAAUAAGGGUAUGUUUGAUAAUGUGAUUUAAUAUAUAUAUAUAUAUAUAUAUAUAUAUAUAUAUUAAAUGAAAAACUGUUUUUAAAAAUUUAAAAAUCCCUAAUAUUAUUUAACCGAUGUUCUUUAAAAACAAUUUUUAAAAAUAAAAUGAAUUAAGUAACAAUUUUUAGAAAACAAAGAGAUGUUUUUAUUGGUUUUUAAAAACAAAAUAAAAAGAUCUGUUUGAUCAUAUUUUUUGAAACUUAUUUUUAAAAAUUAGUUUUAAGUUAAAAAACAAAAAAGAGUUUUUAAAAACAAAUUUCAGAAAAUAGGAUUAAACGGGUACUAAAUUUGAUAAACAAAAUAAAUUUAUAAGGGUGUUAAUUUAUGAAAUCUAAAACCUAAGAUGGUUUACUGAAUUUACAAUAAACCUUAACGGGUCUCAAUGAAAUUAACCUUUUAAUAAAAGUAUUUUUAAUUUUAAUAUUUAUAUAAUUAUAAAAGUUAUUAGAUAUAAUAAAAGGAUGAACUUUAUAUUAUUAGCCUACCAAACGAAACCUAUGUUAUUAGUCAUAUCUUUAUAUUCCUCUAUAUAUCUCUUUUUCCUUAUUAUUGUUUCAUAAUUACGUUAAAAAUGACCUCAUUUGAAUUAUUUUCACAUGCAUCAUCAAUUUCAACAAAAAUCCAAUAUUUUUAAAUAACGACAAAGCUCUCGUUGAUCCGAGGUAUUAAAGUGUGGGCCACAGCCGAAGCCCAUUAUGUAGUUUUUUAGAGUUCCAGCGGUACAAGCAUCUCAGGCCAUGGUUUCUUUAUUGGUUGUUACUUGUCUUGGCCCACAAAAUCAAGGACCCAAAAUAAACUUUAUUAUUUUUCCUUCAUUUCACGCAUUCUUCUUAGCUGAUUUUUGGGCUUGAAAGUGGAAAAAAUUGACUAGGUCUUAAAGAGUUGCUUCCUCAAUCAAACUAGAAUAUGGAAAGCAACGUAGGCAUGUCUAGUGGUGGGCCAUUGAUUGGGCCCAUGCCACACUCACCUCUUGUCUACUUUUCAUUUUGUAUCUUGGUCGUAUUUAUUUGUAUCUUAGUCACAUUCUUUAUACUUUUAUUUAAUGAUCUAGAUUUUUUCGUGUACUCUCACAAUGGAGAUUUGGAGUUUGGUAGAAACCGAUCCAACGUUUCGCAACUUCAAACAAAAUCGUAAAACAUGAUAUCAAAUACAUUCUCUAUAGAUACUAUGAGCUACAAUGGAUGGAUGGAUGUAAACAUGACAAACUCAAAACUUUCAAAAUAAAAAUCUUUCAACUCUCUUCUACAAUUAACCUCUCUAUACCCUAAGGAUUCAACCCAUUCAUCCAAUUCAGCCCACUUCCAGAAACUUCACCAUUCAACUCAACUAUGCCUACUUUUGGGCCACUUGAGAGGCAAAAAAGAUAGAAUUAGUGUAAUUUAGAUUGGCAUAUGCUCUUGACCCAGGCCCACCAUGGGCAGGCAUCCCUGGAGUAAGAAGAUGGCAUAAACCCUUGAGAGUAUAUAAUUUAUAAAGGCAAAAGCAACUUCAACUUUAAGAUUGCUUGCUAAUGCACCCAAUGUUUGAAUAGGAUUUAAUUUCAGAUGUCUCUGGAAAAGAAAAAGGGCAAGAAAAGAAAACCCUUGGAGGUCUGUUCGUUAUUAUUUUGGAAUUAUUAAAGAAGGUGAAAAAGAAAACCAGCUGGGCGUGACCUUAUUAUAUAAUGCAAGGAAGCCCAUGUCUGAAGUUGAGAGGGCUUUGGCCCACUGGAUUGGGCCACUAAAGUAGAUCUUCCCAAAUCAUCAUCGUCAUUUGUGUCUCAUCUCUCUGUCGUCUUGAGUGACAUAAAAUUAGAAUUAUGAUGCUUGCUUUGCUCCUAAGUCCUAACUCAAGUAGCUUUUUCUUCCCUUCCACACCAGUAAUAAGAAAAAUAAUAAAAAUAAAAAGGCUAUUUUCAGUAAACUGGGUGUGAGAUAUUUUGCCAAAGAUAUUUUAAGAGGUUUUGGAAUUUAAAACCUUCUGUAUAUUAAUUAGCACCCUCAUUUUUUCUUAAUUGGCCCUUUUAACUCCUCAUCUAUUGUUACGAAAUAACGAGAAUAGGCGAUAAAAAACAAAACAUAUCAUAUAAAUUUACCUGAAAAAACCCUAAACGAAAAAAAUCAUGAACAAAGAAGAAGAAGAUCCAUUAUAUCUAAAAUGAAAAUCUACUAAAUCAAAAAUUGGUACAAGAUGAGAGAAAUACGGAUGACUACUACAUAGAUAUAAAUAUCAUAACCCUAAAUCCUAUUAUAUAUAGUCCAUAUGGCAGGGCAAGCCUCCGUACCUUAUAAUUUUAACUUCAUCACAUACCACGGGUUUUUUGGAUCAAACGAAAUAAAAUUCAGGUUACUAAACCCUAACACCUUUCAUGUUUGUUUCUUCCUAAAAAAACGAAUAUUUUAUCUUAUCCUGUCCAAGAAUUAAAUUGAAGAUAAAAUAAUGAGUUUGUUUUAAUUAGUUGGAUGCGCAUUAAAGUUUGUGAAUAAUAUCUAUUCAAGAAAGAAUGGGUUAGUCUGACCUCAUAACGGAUAUUUGUUUUAUUAAGUCAUGUAAUCUUGUAAGAGAUAAUGUAUUAGAGAAAUGAUUGUGAUGUCUUACAUUGAAUAGAAGAAGUUCCGUGUACUAUAAAUGUAAUAAAAUUUUCUUAAUCUUGUAAACACGUAUUAAAAAUGCAUUUGACAGUGAUUUUAUAAAGUGUUUUUAAUAUUUCUAAUACUUAAAAAAAAUAAAAAUUUUCUGAGUGUUGAAAAUAUAAAAAACACUUUUUAGAAUUAGUACCAAACGUACUAUAAAGCUGUAAGAAUCUACAAAGCUUAUAACACGUAAUAUUUACUUAAGAGGAAAUAGGUCAUUACAAUUAUAAUCUAAAUAAGGAUCAAGGAUAGGAUAAUAUCUAAAACUCACUAUGACAGAUGGAAGGAGUUUCUAGCAAUCAAGUUUUGGAUAAUAAAUUUAGGUUUAUGUUGAAGUAUAGAGUUGUUGGAAGAGACUUAUGUUGAGGUCUACGCUGAAGUUGAUAUCCAGAACAUCCCACCUUGCUAUCAAAUAUUGUUACUGAUGGCUACGGUUUUUUCUGCCGACUCUUUGAAGGAGCAUGGGCUUUUCUUAAAUUAGGCCCAUAAGGCUGCUCUCAAAUCAGGCCCACCAACAAAGUCUUAACAAAAUCACCUUAAAUAAUAAACAAUCUCUUAACCGUUGGAUUGAUAUUUGAUCACCGUAGAAAAUAAUUAGGCCAAGUCACACCAAAUACGACCAAAUCACUUCUUAAAUAUACUUAAUUACUUUCAGUGCCAUGGUACCACACUGUUGGCUGGGCUUAUCCUGACCCAUCUACUCCGCCCUAAAAUUAAUUAAUUAAAAAUAAAAUAAUAACACACACUCAUGCCCACGAUUAACCUUUAAAAAAAAUUUAAAAAAAAAAGUGAAAAAUAAUAAAAUAUUUAGUCCUUUCCCCAUAGUAUAGGAUGAACUCAAAUUCCAAUAUUUUAUGGAAUAUAGCUAAAAUCCAAAACCAUCCACGCAGACCUCAAGCUAACCACGUAGAUCACACUUGGGCUAUAGCCUAUACCUAGAGUUCCAAUAUGUACAAUUACUAAAAACAAACACAUGCAAAAAGAAACAAAAUACAAUUCCAAGAACCAGAGAAGAAACCUGGGUGAAUUAUUACCCAAGAUCCUAUUCUCCCACGUAAAUCUGACACUUUAAUUUUUCAACUUUUUUGCUGUCAGCAAGUCUGGGAUUGUAGCUAGCAGCCAAAAGUUCCACAUAGUUGCCACAUUUUAGUUGGAAAAUUAUUGAGAUCCGGGGAUAAGUUUGGCCUACAAUUCUACAAUCUUCCAGAGAAAGAUAACAAGUCAUUUAGAUAAAGAUUAAAACAAGAGCCAAAUAAGGUGAAGUGUUGGUGCAUUUGCCAACCCAAUGAGGUCACAGGUAUACAGAAGUGGAAUGAUAUAAAAACAAAGUUGUAACUUUAUCCUUAUCCUUUUGAAAAAGGAAACGGAAGGAGUAUCGUUAAUGGCCUCAUCAGCAUCCGCCAGGUACACGAACAUGGCUGCCUUGUCCCAUCAACAUCUUCUCUUCAAAACAGGAUGUAGUAGAACACAGACUCCCCGGAAUGUCAACUACCAAGGCCCACCGUAUAUACAGCUCAAUUCAUCUGCUAAUUGUUAGAAGCGGUAAGUCAAAGUGAAGAGCAAGUUGGCGUGAAAAAGGGUAUUAAUAUUCUCGAAAAUGUUAUUGGAUAAAAAAAAUGAUAUUAGGAUGAGACUUAAAAACAUACACGCGGUAUCAUCUUAUCAGCAAUAUAUUUUCAUUUGAUACGGUAGAAGUAGUACACUCUCGUUUGAUCUUUUCAACUCUAAAACUUGCAUAGGUCUUGGUGGGUCCAUUGGAGGUCAUCGACCGCCCCAACCAUGCAAGUUUGGUUCGAUCCUAGGGCUCCCAAUUGAUGGGGAACAUGCUCACAAGAUGGAGAGGUUUGAUGGGCUCGUUGGGGGACCUUACUCUCUCUGACACAUAAAGUGGACAUCCCAGCCAGCCGACUGCUAGUAAUACAACCAGAUAUAAUACAACCGAAAGUGUGUCAGAGGGUGACUGGGAAUAAGUCAUUGAUGUGGCUCAAGGUUGAGUCAGCUAACCAAUAUGGACUGGACCCCCUCGUGUAAAAAGUUGGUCAGCUUGGUGUGACACCUCCUUCACAACUCCAUGUGGGCUGCUCCUUCAUUCCAUCUUCUCCCACCCCUUUAGUUUCGUGACCCAUGUGGAUCCCACUAACACCCCAUUAGACCAUCCAUCUUAAUACAUGCAUUUAACUACUUAUUCUCCCUUGCCAAAUAUUUAUUCAAUCAAUUUAGUUGGUGCCAUGUUUUUAUGGAAAAAAAAAACUUUCGUAUAAAAUAUAGUUGUAUUGUGAUGUAUCCUCUCAUAGCAUAAUCACAUGCCAUGUUUAUUUUGGUGAUGCUUUUUAUCAAUGAUAUUAAAAUUAAACAUAUUUAUAUAUCAUGGCUUUUUUAAAAACGCUCUUUACUUCCACCUACAUUUGAUUCUCCAAAUCUUCAUUUCUAAUCAUUUUCCUUGUAUCUUUGCACACAUUAUAACCGAAGAACUUAAUAAAUUCAGAUUAAAUUGGUAUCUAAAAAAAAUAAAAGGAUAUUGGUAGAGGGUGUAAAUUGUGGAGGAAGGUGAAAGGGGGGCCACAUUCAGGUGGCAUAUCAAAAACACCCAUCUUUUUCAAAACCUUAUCUUGGAGGGUCAGGGUCAUGGCAAUGCUGCAAAGGCUAAGGUGGAGAUGGAGACAAUUCCGUAGGCCUUUUGGUCUUUGCAGUUUCUCUUACGGAAUAUCUAAUCUCCCUUUCAUGUAUAGCCCUUAUAAUAUCUUCCUGCUUCCUCUUCUUCUACCAUGUAUGUCGACUAAUACAAGAUAAUUUAUUUAAUUAACGAGUUACCAAUCAUGAAGAAUAAGUCAACAGAAGAGUCAGGAUGAUGGAGGAUCUGAGGAUAGGCAUACUGUGGUAAUGACUUACUCUCUUAAAGACUUCAAAUGCAAAUAAUGGACGCCUGCCUAACGUCUACUAGUUGUUAGAAAAGGCCAAACCGCCUUUCUAUCUAUGCUUGGCCCCAGCUGGCUCUACGCCCCCGGUUUCGCACCUGCUUUCAUCGACUCAUCGCUAUUCACUAAUUGUCCAAACCAUUAUUGGAUAACUACAAAUUUUUACUUACUUCUCACUCUUGGAAAUUUCCUAGUUUGGUUUUAUUGGGAGUGUGCAUAAAAGAUGAAGACAAAAGGACAUUUACAACUUAGGACUCUUCUAUAACAAUCCACUUCCAAUCAUGUAAAUAUUGUCGAUUUUGAACUCGUCUUUGAACCCAAAUGGACCCUCACGACUUUAAAACACGUCUUUAAAACACGUCUAUAAGAUUUGUAUCCACGGGAUUAUGGGACCAAACAAAUACACUUACGAGACCAAACAAACCCCACACCCGAGGUUAGGGAUCGACUCUAAUGAUCUACUCACAACCAUAUAGAUAUUGUCCACUUUGGACCCAAAUGAGCUCUUACUACUUUAAAACGCGUCUAUAAAGUUACGAGGAGUCUAUUCUUAUAUAGCGCCAAGAACUUUCCCCCUUAUUCAGUGUAGGAUAUCACAAACACCCCUCAUAUAGACAUAACGUCCUCAUUGUAUCUCACGAGAUUGUGGGGCUAAACAAACAUCACACUGAGGUCAGGGAUCGACUCUGAUACCAUUUGUAAUAACCCUUUUCUAAUCGUAUAAAUAUUAUCCGUUUUGAACUCAAAUGAACUCUCACGACUUUAUAACGCAUCUGCAAGGUUACGAGGAAUUCAUACUUAUAUAGUGUCAGAAACUUACCCCUAUAUUCAACAUGGGAUGUCACACUUCUCUACCCCCAAGCACAAAAUACAAAAGCACCUCCUAGUGCAUUGAUGAGGGGUCUUUAUGUUUUCUUUUUGAAAUUCAUUUGACUUAGCAAUCCAUUUAUUUUUUGAGUGAUACCAACUAAAUUAAUGAAUCUUAAUUUUGAGUUUGAUUUCUUCUAAACAUUCGUUGAUGUUGUGGCACUAAAAAAUCCAUUGAAUUAAAGCUCUGUUGUAGGUUUUUUUUCUUCUUAAGAUGUGUUUUAAUAUUUUUACUGUUUAUAUUUAAGGAAUUUGUAUUUUCUUUCAUGUCUAUCAUAAGUCCUGUCCUUGUCCAUGGUCCUUCUUAGGGUCUUGUAGUAUAUGGCUAAGCUAAAAUUCCUUCAGAAAAUAGUUUCUCCACCGCCAAAACAGCUCCUCAAGAAACAUAUCUACAAGAACGGAAAAUUUAAAUAAAUGUCAAAUUAGGGGAAAAAAAUUAAACAAAAAUAAAUACUUCACCUGGAAGAACGAAUAGGAAUACGGGUGACGGACAAAUGGGGACGAAUGGAAAGAUUCAUACGCCGCACACAUACGACGCAUGUCCCGACCAACGCAGAUAACGGGAAGCGUCAAACCAAUCGGCGAAUUUAACGGAGUGGGGAAGACACUGAGAAACGAAAACGACGANNNNNNNNNNNNNNNNNNNNNNNNNNNNNNNNNNNNNNNNNNNNNNNNNNNNNNNNNNNNNNNNNNNNNNNNNNNNNNNNNNNNNNNNNNNNNNNNNNNNGAGGGAGGAGGGUCUUUGUCUGAGAGAAGCCUCUCUCACACCGUCACAAGUUCUCUAACUUUAGACUUUUCUUCAAAGCCUUUAUAAGGCUUUGCGUUUUCCCAAAAAUAUCAUCCCUUCAAAUUUUAAAAAACGUUUUGUUUUUCGUGUUGCACAAACAAAAAUUAAUACAUAAAUAUUUCAAUUUAAUAAUCUACACUCUCUAUCUUCUCCCUGUCAUCAUCUCCCUCCAUCAUUUAAAUAUGAACAUGAGACCGCCUCUUCAUGAGUCUUCUGCAAGCAAUGGAAAUGGACUAAGGAGUUUAAAAUUUGAAGAAAUGGAUAGAAAUGGAAGGCUUAACAUUGGAAGCAAAUGGCUUGGAUGAGGAGGGCAGGUGGAGCGUUAGAUGGUGGGUGUUUUCCUCAAAUUAGAAGUAGGCUCUUGUUUUUAUUAGGCCCGCUAUGGACAUAUA